Molecule: long non-coding RNA, 193 nt
Organism: Photinus pyralis (common eastern firefly)
Lineage: Eukaryota; Metazoa; Arthropoda; Insecta; Coleoptera; Lampyridae
Exons: 3
Source: RefSeq, a predicted model, not a curated record
CGAACUGCGAAAACGGUCACCCACGUUUUAUUAUCCCGGCGCUCUUAUGUCACAUAGGUUCGGUUGGUUAUAAAAAUUUAAUUUUAUGAGUCGAUCGAUUAAACAAAUUUUCGUGGGAAAUUAUUUUUCAGGUACAUGGAUAAGGAAAGCAUAUUAUAAAGGAUUGUAAACGCGAUCUUCAAUUAGGUAAGUA